AACGAACGCUGGCGGCAUGCCUAACACAUGCAAGUCGAACGAGACCUUCGGGUCUAGUGGCGCACGGGUUCGUAACGCGUGGGAACCUGCCCUUAGGUUCGGAAUAACUCCCCGAAAGGGGUGCUAAUACCGGAUAAUGUCUUCGGACCAAAGAUUUAUCGCCUUUGGAUGGGCCCGCGUUGGAUUAGCUAGUUGGUAGGGUAAAAGCCUACCAAGGCGACGAUCCAUAGCUGGUCUGAGAGGAUGAUCAGCCACACUGGGACUGAGACACGGCCCAGACUCCUACGGGAGGCAGCAGUGGGGAAUAUUGGAAAAUGGGCGAAAGCCUGAUCCAGCAAUGCCGCGUGAGUGAUGAAGGCCUUAGGGUUGUAAAGCUCUUUUAACCGGGAUGAUAAUGACAGUACCGGGAGAAUAAGCUCCGGCUAACUCCGUG
RNAcentral lists this ribosomal RNA (433 nucleotides) under uncultured bacterium. Its description in RNAcentral is "partial 16S ribosomal RNA". It matches the Rfam family "Bacterial small subunit ribosomal RNA", at positions 29 to 507 of the family's 1533-position model. The record is from RNAcentral.